GAAUAUUGCACAAUGGGCGCAAGCCUGAUGCAGCGACGCCGCGUGGGGGAUGACGGCCUUCGGGUUGUAAACUGCUUUUGUACGGAACGAAAAGCUUUGGGUUAAUACCCUGGAGUCAUGACGGUACCGUAAGAAUAAGCACCGGCUAACUACGUGCCCGCAGCCGCGGGAAUAGGUAGGGUGCAAGCGUUAAGCGGAAUUACUGGGCGUAAAGCGUGCGCAGGCGGUUUGGUAAGACAGAGGUGAAAUCCCCGGGCUCAACCUGGGAACUGCCUUUGUGACUGCAAGGCUAGAGUACGGCAGAGGGGGGUGGAAUUCCGCGUGUAGCAGUGAAAUGCGUAGAUAUGCGGAGGAACACCGAUGGCGAAGGCAACCCCCUGGGCCUGUACUGACGCUCAUGCACGAAAGCGUGGGGAGCAAAC
RNAcentral lists this ribosomal RNA (422 nucleotides) under uncultured bacterium. Its description in RNAcentral is "bacterial SSU rRNA". It matches the Rfam family "Bacterial small subunit ribosomal RNA", at positions 359 to 773 of the family's 1533-position model. The record is from RNAcentral.